Long non-coding RNA from Chiroxiphia lanceolata (lance-tailed manakin), 1357 nucleotides. RefSeq lists it as uncharacterized. The record is from RefSeq and is a predicted model, not a curated record. NCBI's taxonomy places the organism in Eukaryota, Metazoa, Chordata, Aves, Passeriformes, Pipridae. The transcript has 4 exons.
CACAGAGGGCUGGUGAUGCAGUGCAGCAGAGGGAAGAAGCUGCCAGGGAUGGGGGUAUUGUCACCCAGGGUCACCAGAGACACUGUGACCUGAAAGACAGCCCAGCCAGACGGGUUCCUCCAGCUGUAAUCUUGGGAGCAGAGCCGUGGUGGUGAAACCGUGCCCUGAUGUAAGAUCUGGAUCCCAAGCUUUCACUGGAGAAUGAGGCCAUGGAUGCAGGAGAGGCCAGGAUGAGGAAAGGGCUGAAAUGUUCCACCAGAUCCUCGCUCACAUGGAUCAGCCACAGCACAGGAGCCAUGAGGAGACUGACAGCCAGGAAGCCAAAGUGGGAAUGCUCAAGAAGAGGAAUGUUCUCACCCAGAGGUGCUGUUGUAACAAGAGCCAGAACUUCUCUUGGAUAAAAGCUUCCCUUGGAGCACUUCCAUGUUACCUAAUGGCUUCCUGAGAGAAGUGGGACAGCCUUCAGCUGGAGAGGCAGAUGGCACACCUGGACCUUUACCACCUGCCCUGAUCCAGGAGAAUUUGCCUGGCUUUUUCAAGGGAAGGAAACCGCAUCUUUCCUUCCAGUCUAGAGAAGAAAAACGGCAGCGCUGCCCCUGUACUGCUUUUGGAAUACCCCAAAGGCUGGAAGCAGAUGAGCGGUAGAGAUCAGAGCUUAGUUCAUCCCGUGUUUCCAAGGCACAGGUGCUUAGAGGUGCUGAAAAGCAACACCCUGGAAGUAUUGGAGCAGUUUCUGUUCCUACCUGCAUGGUGAAGCGGAGAGCCUUCCUCUGUCCUGGUGCUCCUCGGGGCAGAUCCACAGGUAAGAUGGGCUGGAGGCUCCUGGGCUUCCUUGUCGCGUGGUUUCCGUCCCCAGCUCCUUUGCCCGAGGACUCAUGUGCAGCGCCCUGACUUCCGUGUGGGACUCCCGUCUGCCUUGGGAGGGAGCUGAUAUCGGGAGGAGGUGAGGAAGCUGCCCUUCACCCUCGCUCAGAGGAGUGGCAAGCCCAGAACCGCCCAGCACCGGGGCAGACUCACUCCAACAGGUCCAUGUCCUUCCUGUGCUGGUGCCCCCAGAGCUGGAUGCAGUGAUCCGGUUGGGAUCUCACAUGAGCAGAGCACAGAGGCAAAAUCACCUCCCAUCUGGAGCUGUGGCUUGGAGCAGGGAAUGAAUUCUCACAAAAGGGGUGGGAGGACUUUGCUCUCCAGAGUGUGGGCAUCCAACAGCAGUCCUGAAAGCCUGUGGGCGUUACCAGCCGGUGGGGAAGGCGAGUGUGUGCCCGCAGGUUGGCUUUGGGCGAGGUAUCCAUCCCCUGCAGCAUCUCACGGCGCUCAGAGGAGACUGUGCUGCUGCUGCUCCUGUAUAGGAGGAAUUCGG